RNAcentral lists this long non-coding RNA (620 nucleotides) under Chrysolophus pictus (golden pheasant). RNAcentral describes it as "lncRNA (ENSCPIG00010014300.1)". The record is from RNAcentral. Lineage: Eukaryota; Metazoa; Chordata; Aves; Galliformes; Phasianidae.
CAAGAUCCAGGCUGAGGUGGCAAGCUCAGAGGACAAGGACCAACAUCCCCCUGAUCUUGUGGAAGAUGCUUGGCUUGGUGCUGACCUGGGUGAGCACAGUGAGCUGCAGAGUGAAACAGAGAUGGAAAGAAGCCUUACGUAUGGUGACACUAAGGGGAGGGAACCCACUGAGGAUGUGUUGGAGGCUCCAUCAGGAAGAGGUGCUGGGCCUGAAGCUGAGCUGCCUGCCUUGGAGGUUGCAGAGGAAGAUGUAGAGCUGGUGCCUGCUCCAGUCAGCACAGCCUCAUCCUACUCAGCUGAUGUCCCUGCCUCAGAGGUGAUGUCCCAGGGUGACAAAGGUGUGCCUGCUGGAGAUGUGCUGUCGCCAGGAGAAGGACAUGAAGAUCUCUUUGAUCUGGCUUCAGUUCUGGCAUCUCUGGAGAACCGUACAGCACUGCAGUCCCUGCACCAGCCCGGAGAUGUGCUAUUUGAAGUAAUGACUGAAAUCAAACACGAGGACUGGAUCACUCCUGGUGGCAGUGAGCUCAGAAGGGAUCUCCUAGAAUCUAUAAGAAGCCAUAUCCAGCAGAACCUGAAGCUCUCUGCCAACAGAGUCAGUGAAAUAAAGUUAAAGGAAGCCA